AUCCUUUUGUAGUUCAUGAGCGUGAUGAUUGAGUGUUCAUGCUCAUGUGAGAUGUGGCCACCCACCUUGUUACCACGGCAGCACAUUACCCAUCUGGCA
Small nucleolar RNA from Callithrix jacchus (white-tufted-ear marmoset), 99 nucleotides. NCBI's taxonomy places the organism in Eukaryota, Metazoa, Chordata, Mammalia, Primates, Cebidae. The record is from Ensembl.